GACGAUGAUAAAAGCUAAAAGCGUAAGAAUGCAAUAAGAGGAUUAAUUCAAUCUGUGUAAAGUAUCUCCUUGCUACCAUGAUCAUAAGUCUCUCUAUUUCUCAAUCACUUGUUCCAUUUAAAAUAAUUUUUUAAAAAUCUCUAAAAAUUCCUAAACAUACAUUCAAGCUUCUAGAACAAUAUUCCAGAAUAUUGGAAGAGUGUAUCAGAAAUUUUUCCAGAUUUUUUAAAGUCUAAAAACACUUUUAUAUCGGGCACCAGUGAUCCGGUUAGAUUAAAAAAGCAAAAAAAGAAACGUUAAAUGAAUUUGUUUCAGUUGCAUCUCGAGCAUUAGAAAUGAGACAAGCACGCGUACAUUAUAACUGGAGAAUGAAAUGUAGAAUAAUUCAAGUGCGAUAAACAGACUUAAUGAAACGAGAUACAGAAGAUACAUUAUUCGGCAUGCGGAGAGCCUUUUGCUUCAUCAACAACAAACAAUAGUAAAAAGUAACGCAAUAGAAAGAAAAAGGAAAGCUUCAAUGUACAGAAUGGUAUUUUUUUUUUCUAUUCAACGAGCAUUUUUACGUGCUGAGGAUAAAUGAAACACCCUAUAACAGGGGGAGGAUAAUUCAUCACGCGCGCGCGUAUCGGGAGAUAGUUGCUAUCACAGUAUAAACCUCGCAAUUUUGUAACAAACUGCGCUUUAAUUUGUCAUAGAUACAUUUACAAUAUACAUUUACAAUAUAUAUGUAUAUAUUUAUAAGUUCCAAUACCGCUUCUCUUCUCCCGACGAUACUCGCUGCUCAACGAUAAAGAUGAAUUAAUGGGUGUAUUACGACGACAUUACGGCGUAUUACGGUAUAUUUCGUCUUUUUUGUUUUUUUUCGCACACAUAUGCUUAUACACAUAUAUUUCUGCUGAUCUCUCGUUAUGCUAUUAUUAUAUACGCCUCUCUCAAUAACAAAAAGAAAAAAAAAGAAAGACAUGUCUCUCUUCAAAGUCGCGAGAUUUAAUUCGAAUCACGACCGAUUCUCGUUCCCUUUCCCGGGUCUUUGCACCUCGUCGAGAUCUCUUCAAGAUCGAGCACGUCGUCCUCUACGCGAGAUAUGUUUUAUGUAUAUAUACAAAAAAAGCCUAACUCCCUUACAUGCUAUUUCUUAUGAUGCUAGGUAAUCUACAUAACGUACACCAGCAACGGAGCGUGCGCUCGAUAAUUAUUAUACACAGAGAAUCUCCUCUUCGGUUUUAUCCCCUUCGCAGGAGUCUUCAUCUACGAGUUCGACGAUUAAUUCGCUACCGGACCGAACAGAAAGAUCAUUAACGAAAAAUCUGACGGGCUAGACGACACUUGGCGAAUCGUGGACCCGAAUGGCGGAGCUACUGAGAGGGAGGACGCCCGUCAUCAGCUGAUUAAUAACGCAAAAAUUAAAUAUUGCAUACUUCCAUGUCCCGACGCAUACGCACGCACGUACUUACGCACAUACACACCAACGAGCACGUGCAAAAUUCGUUCGCGCGUGCACUUGUCAACGCAGAGGUAAGCGUCAGGCGAAAUGCAUUCGCGAAUGACAAUGUAUGCAACAAUGAUACGUUGUGUAUAAAUACACAUUUAUACAUAUAGGUACGCGUUUAUAUAUAUAGAGUCACUGCAGUGAUCCUAAAUUACUGAUUGAAAAAAAUCUCAGAGCAAUUUAAAUAAAAGAUGAGCCGCUUGUAAAUAUCCUCGUAAUAAAUGAUCUUUUAAGCGAGUUUAAUGGAAUAAACUGCAAUUUAGGAAAAUCAGGAAGAAUCAGGUCAAGAUUAUUAUGCCAAAUCUAUGAACUUGAUAACAAUGAUAUAAAAUUAUUGCCAGUUCACGUUUGAACAACCGAGUGAUACAAUAAUUUCAUUCAUGAUCGCAGAAUUUUGAAAGCACCGUGGACGAAUCAAUGGAAAAAAAUAAGAACCAAUUUUAAUUGUCGACCUAACAAUGGAAGAAAUUUGAAGUUAGGACUUGAAAUUCAAACAAAAACUUUUGCUGAUUAUUACCACGAGAUAUCGGUAUUAAUCAUCCGACAUAUAACGAAUAAUUAAAAAUAAAUUGAUAUGAUUACAUAUUUAAAUAAAAAAACGAUAUUUUAAUCAAAUCUGUAUGAAAAUUAGAACUAAAAAGUAUAAAUCAAUUUGCAAUUUGCUGAUUUGAAAACUGCGUUCGUGGAGCAUACUGCACAACACGUCACUUUAUCUUUAUUUUAUGUCGAUAAAAAUAGAAUAACGGAAUAACGUUAAUAGUAUGUUCUCUGAACGCAGCCGAAGUAUUACUAUUUUAAUAUUCUUUUUUUUUAACAAUCAUUUACUGAUUCAGUGACUGAUGCAGUGACUCUACAUUAUAUGAUGCAAACAUAUAAUGUAUUAUAUUCUACGUUAUACGUUAUUUGCUCGCGGAUACAUUUUGCCCGACAUUGCAAACGGAGGAACUUUUGAUAGACGUGCGGAUCGACUUACUCUUGGCGCUAGCGAUCUCGACUUAGAGCUAUUGAACCUGCCGGUUAAUCUCGUUUUAGAAAACUAUCAAAAAUUCCUAUAUCGAAAGUAGACUUGUCCUUUAUGUACAAUAUAUGUAGAAGCUAGACUUCUUUACUUUCGACGAACGGUGUAAAAGUGUCAAAGUUUCGCGAGUCACUUGUAAAAAGGAAACUGCAGUCAAAGAAAUCUACAAACGAUUGUUUACCUAAUUUCCGUAGAGAGCCUCACGGAUACGAUACGGUCAGUUACGUAAAAAAAAA
Long non-coding RNA from Solenopsis invicta (red fire ant), 2743 nucleotides. RefSeq lists it as uncharacterized. The record is from RefSeq and is a predicted model, not a curated record. The transcript has 2 exons. Lineage: Eukaryota; Metazoa; Arthropoda; Insecta; Hymenoptera; Formicidae.